GCCUGAUUAAAGUAUAAGCAUGUUGAGAAUUACCUUGUGUCGUGGUAUAGGGUGAUAAAUUCCAAUUUGGAUAGCCUAAUAUCGUGGUAGUUAAUAUUAAUCGCAAGUGAAUAUGUGUGUAGUUGAAGGCUUUGACCUUCACAGUUGAGGUCUAUGAAGUUUAUGUGUGACAUUGUGUGUAAGAGUGUCCUCAACAAUUGAGGUUUAUGAACCUUAUGUGUGUAGUUGAAGUUUGACAUUCAUAAUUGAGGUUUAUAGACCUUAUGUGUAGUUAGAAGCUUUAACCGUUAUAAUUGAGAUGCAUAACUCUUGUGUGU
Helianthus annuus (common sunflower) is the source of this 317-nucleotide long non-coding RNA. RefSeq lists it as uncharacterized. The record is from RefSeq and is a predicted model, not a curated record. The transcript is spliced from 2 exons. Lineage: Eukaryota; Viridiplantae; Streptophyta; Magnoliopsida; Asterales; Asteraceae.